GUCUAUGGCCAUACAACCCUGAACGCAGCCAAUCUCAUCUGAUCUCAGAAGCUAAGCAGGGCCAGGCCUGGUUAGUACUUGGAUAGUAGAAAUUAUAUCUUUGAAAUGGACAACCGAAGUAU
This 122-nucleotide ribosomal RNA is filed under the name Microcebus murinus (gray mouse lemur). Lineage: Eukaryota; Metazoa; Chordata; Mammalia; Primates; Cheirogaleidae. The record is from RNAcentral.